This 411-nucleotide ribosomal RNA is filed under the name uncultured bacterium. RNAcentral describes it as "bacterial SSU rRNA". It matches the Rfam family "Bacterial small subunit ribosomal RNA", at positions 509 to 916 of the family's 1533-position model. The record is from RNAcentral.
CAGCAGCCGCGGUAAUACGGGGGGAGCAAGCGUUGUUCGGAUUUACUGGGCGUAAAGGGCGCGUAGGCGGCCACCGCAAGUCGACUGUGAAAUCUCCGGGCUUAACCCGGAAAGGUCAGCCGAUACUGCGGGGCUAGAGUGCAGAAGGGGCAACUGGAAUUCUCGGUGUAGCGGUGAAAUGCGUAGAUAUCGAGAGGAACACCUGCGGCGAAGGCGGGUUGCUGGGCUGACACUGACGCUGAGGCGCGAAAGCUAGGGGAGCGAACGGGAUUAGAUACCCCGGUAGUCCUAGCCUUAAACGAUGAAUGCUUGGUGUCCGGGGUUACAUAGUCCCCGGGUGCCGGCGCUAACGCAUUAAGUAUCCCGCCUGGGGAGUACGGUCGCAGGACUGAAACUCAAAGGAAUUGACGG